GAGUCUGAGAGAGAGGUAGACUCUGUCAGUGACUAACACAUAACCCCUGAGUCUGAGAGAGAGGUAGACGCUGUCAGUGACUAACACAUAACCCCUGAGUCUGAGAGAGAGGUAGACUCUGUCAGUGACUAACACAUAACCUCUGUGUCUGAGAGAGGUAAACUCUGUCAGUGACUAACGCAUAACCUCUGUGUCUGAGAGAGGUAGACGCUGUCAGUGACUAACGCAUAACCUCCGGGUCUGGGAGAGAGGUAGACUGUCAGUGACUAACGCAUAACCCCUGAGUCUGAGAGAGAGGUAGACGCUGUCAGUGACUAACGCAUAACCCC
This is a long non-coding RNA of Oncorhynchus keta (chum salmon), 329 nucleotides long. RefSeq lists it as uncharacterized. The transcript has 3 exons. The record is from RefSeq and is a predicted model, not a curated record. NCBI's taxonomy places the organism in Eukaryota, Metazoa, Chordata, Actinopteri, Salmoniformes, Salmonidae.